UACAGAGGUCUCAAGCGUUGUUCGGAUUCAUUGGGCGUAAAGGGUGCGUAGGCGGCGCGGUAAGUCGGGUGUGAAAUCUCGGGGCUUAACUCCGAAACUGCAUUCGAUACUGCCGUGCUUGAGGACUGGAGAGGAGACUGGAAUUUACGGUGUAGCGGAGAAAUGCGUAGAUAUCGUAAGGAAGACCAGUGGCGAAGGCGGGUCUCUGGACAGUUCCUGACGCUGAGGCACGAAGGCCAGGGGAGCAAACGGG
RNAcentral lists this ribosomal RNA (253 nucleotides) under uncultured bacterium. Its description in RNAcentral is "partial 16S ribosomal RNA". It matches the Rfam family "Bacterial small subunit ribosomal RNA", at positions 524 to 776 of the family's 1533-position model. The record is from RNAcentral.